UACGACCACAUCACGUUGAAACACCUGUUCCCAUAUAAUCACCGAAGUUAAGUAACGUUGAACCUGGUCAGUACCUAGAUGGGUAACCGCUUCGGGAUAUCAGAUGCUGUAGG
Acanthosepion pharaonis is the source of this 113-nucleotide non-coding RNA. The record is from the annotation of a GenBank genome assembly. NCBI's taxonomy places the organism in Eukaryota, Metazoa, Mollusca, Cephalopoda, Sepiida, Sepiidae.